RNAcentral lists this long non-coding RNA (5743 nucleotides) under Homo sapiens (human). Lineage: Eukaryota; Metazoa; Chordata; Mammalia; Primates; Hominidae. The record is from RNAcentral.
CUUAAAGCCCUAAAUGGCGGCUUCAAUAUCAGUCCCACUGAGCAUGAAAUUCAUUUACUUAAAUAAAAUCUGAAUCUCAGCCCAAACCUGGGAGAUUCAAAACCUGAGAGCGGUCUUACCAAAGACGCCCGUAUGUCUGGUGAAGUCAGUUGGAUGCAAGCAGUUUGUGCUGGUACCAGGGCCCCAGCUACUGAUGAAGUGGCAGGAGUCCACAGAAGCCUACUUCGAAGUUCCCGGGGCUUCCAGGGGAGAUUGACGAGAUUCCUGGGGAGGCGAUUCAUGACAGCUGAGUUCCUUUUGGAGGAUCCGUCUUCAGGCAGUCUGAUCCCCCAGGAAAGCAGCUGGAAAACAAGAGCAUGUGAAGGAAGCGCAGCAGCUCCUCGCCAGCCAGACAGCCAGCCCCGCACCGCAGGAGUCGACAUGCACGGCAGCCUAGACGCCAUCAGUUAAACUUAUAUGUAGGCUUGUUGAGGAAAACGACUUUCAAACACAAGGCAAAAGAAAAACAUGAAACCAAGGGUUCCAACAUUCAUCAUCCAGUUUCAGAGACACCCUUGAAGGAAUGCUACAGCCUCUUUCUUACCCAUUCAAACCAGUCGCUCUGCUGCAUACCCACAUCACAGGAGGCCCUCAGCCCCGACACACAGGCUCACUCAGCCCGGGGACAUCAGCACCUGUGCCAGCUCCGCAAGGUAUCCACCAUGCGGCCAGAACUGAGGCCCAGCAAUAGCUGAAAUGUCCUUUAAAUUAACAUGUACAACACACAACCCCCAAGAGCUGACAUCCCCAAAGCCCCACCACAAAUAGCUGACUCCUACUUAUACCUGCAGGAGCAGGUAGUGACCUCUGCAAUUCUAAACCGUCCACUUUGGGCAAAAUUCAUCAAGCUAUGGAUAUGAAAAAAGGCCCCCAAGGAUAUGAUUCAUAGUCCAGCGUUUGAGUGAGCACUCCAGUCAGAACGAACUCUGCAUUGUGAACAUCUGAACAGGGUGGAAACAGACACUUUAGUUAGAGAUCCACUGCUGUGCGUGCACACAUACUCACACAGGAAAAGAAAAUGAGUUUCUCAGUGACCGAACGCUGAAUGUGAUACAGGGCAAUGACGGACUCGCUGGCGGACUCCACUCUACCCACCGAGUUCUGCUUGUGCUCCAUGAGCUUCCGGAAAGAUGGCUGCUUGGAUAACACCUUUCCUCCUGCACACUCUACGAUUGCCUUCAUAGUGGAAAGACUUGGGCAGAUUCCAGUAAAGAAAAGUUCUCUAGAGAUGUGCUGUGGUUCACAGGAGGAAGACCUCCAGUGGCAAUGUCCAAGAAGGAAGCCAAGAGGUAAAUGGGAUGCAGGGUGAGCCCAGCUCCCCUGGAGGCGCACUUCCCACCAAAUCACCUGGUAGUUCCCUUGAGCAGGUCCGUGUGUUAUGCUUACUUGGACUGAUUUACUUUUCCCUUAAAGUGUACCUUAAAGAGUGGAGAAACGUGUGCCCGUUUUAAGGAUUCUUCCAAGCUGAAAGAGAAAAGUACUUCUGCCUCAGCAUCUCGGAGAAUGUAGUUCUGCUCAUCUGGAAAACAGAACAGCACAUACUCUGAAAAGUGUGGACACGUGAAGUGUGGCAAGUGUGACCCACAAAAUUCUCGCCCAUAUUCAGGUACAUAAUAUUACAGCUACAUUUACCUGUACAGCCUUCGGAUAUUUAAAUGUCACCAUUAUAUUUCAUUUACUUCCCUCUAAAAACAGCCAGACCAAAAAGACAGACAGGUAUUUUUUCUCCUAGAUCAGUGGUAAUUAACCAUUUGGGGUCAUAAACUCUUGAAAAAAACGGGCUGGGUGUGGUGGUUCAUGCCUGUAAUUCCAGCACUUUGGGAAGCCGGGGAAGGAAAGCUGCUUGAUGCCAGGAGUUCGAGAACAGCCUGGGCAACACAGUGAGACUUCAUCUCUACAGAAAAAUUUUAAAAUCAGCUUGGCAUGGUGGCAUGUGCCUGUAGUCCCAGCUACUCGGGGGACUGAAGUGGGAGGAUCGCUUGAGUCUGGGAAGUUCGAGGCUGUGGUGAGCCAUCAUUGCACCACAGCACCCCAGCCUGGGCAACAAAGUGAGAUCUGGUCUCAAAAUAAUAGUAAUUUUUUUUUUUUUAACAACAAAAAUGUAAAAAAAGAAAAAAAAAAUUACUGAAAAAUAUGAACCCUCUUCCCAUAGCUGCUCCUCCCCUCUUUACCCCCCGACUAUUUUAGGAAGUUCACCAACUUUCCAAGCCCGCAGAUCUCAGGUUAAAAUCUCCAGUCCUAGAAAGACAAGCUUCAAAUAAUCCCAUCCAAGUGUAUAUUAUAUAUAUAUAUGUUAUAUAUAUACACUAACUCCUCAAGGACUUGUAGGACAUUGGAGUCAUUUGGCUCAUAAUCAAUUAUGUGAAUUACCAAACUUUAAAGAUUUACCAAACACACAUUCAAGUAUAUAAAAGUAUACAGCAAUUUAUAAAGGAUAGUUUUAUCAAUUUUUAAAGACUUCUGACAAUUAUUAAUAAUUGACAGAUUUUCAGUUUUCAUAGCAACAUUUUAAGAAAUGUGUCAAAAGGUAAAGAUCACAAAAUGUUUCAAUCUUCCUAUAAAUAUGCCUCAUAUUCAGAAAACCAUUUCUCCUCCGCCGCCAUUUCCUACCAACCAUACAGCAUAAUAAGGCAGCUCAAACCCAAUAAUAUAUACAUCAAAAGCAGAAAACAAGGAAAAGUGAUUUGGGAUUGGCAAACUGGGGUUGACAAGAUGAUACAUAUUUUAGGAUUUGUGGGCUAUGUAUUAUUUCUCCUGCAUAUUCCUCUUCUCUUUUUUAAGCAAUAUUUAAAAAAUGUAAAAACCAUUUUCAGCGUAUGGACCAGUUUGCUGACUGCUGGGCAGGAGCAACCACAUCAUGACAGAAAUGCAGGGAUCUGUUCACCAACGGCCAGAAAUACAAAAUCAAUCCCUGAGUCAACCAGCAGAUAGAAAGGCUGCUUUUUAGGUGAAAGGAGAAAAAGAAUGUCUAAAAUUUGGAAAAACAAAAAAUGAUGAAUUAAAAAAGGAACAAAAAAAGUACUGUUACACAUGAGAUGGUAUAUUUGAAGUGUUACUUUCAAAGCUGAUAUGCCUUCUGAAGAACUUGUGUGAGAUCACCAAGAAUAGUUAAUGUUUAUGAUAGAGAAAACACCACCGGGCGCGGUGGCUCACGCCUAUAAUCCCAGCACUUUGGGAGGCCGAGGUGGGCGGAUCUCUUGAGGUCAGGAGUUCAAGACCAGCCUGGCCAACAUGGUGAAACCCUGUCUCUACUAAAAAAUACAAAAAAAUUUAGCCAGGCGUCGUCGUGGUGGGCGCCUGCAGUCCCAGCUACUAGGGAGGCUGAGGCAGGAGAAUGGCUUGAACCCAGGAGGCAGAGGUUGUAGUAAGCCAAUGGCACCACUCUACUCCAGCCUGAGCAACAGACUGGGUGAGACUCUGUCUUAAAAAGAAAAGAAAGUAAUAUUGAAAAAUACAGUAAUACAGCUAAGACGAUCCUGUCACAGAUGAGACAUUGAGAUUUUGGUUUUUUCAAACAGGGUUAUGUUACCUUAGUAGUAGCAAUGUAAAGACUCAACCUGAACAUUAAACUUUUCAUGGAAGUACAAAAGAAAUGAGUAUCCUAGAAAUUGAUUAUAAUAUUGAUGUCUCAAAUUUUAUGUAAGUUACACAUAAAUAUAAAAUCCCAAAAACAUGCACCUACCAAAACAGGUGGAGAAAAGAGUGUUUUCAACAAAUGAUGCUGGAACAACUGCACAUCCAUAUGCAAUAAAAGGAAGCUGGACACAGACUUUACCCUCUUUUAAAAAAAACUGACCCAAAAAUGGAACACAGACCUAAAUGUAAAAUGCAAAACUAUGAAACUCCUAGAAGAUAACACAGGAGAGAAUCUAAGGGACCUUGAGUUUGGCAAUGACUUUUUAGAUACAACACCAAAGACACAAUCCAUGAAAGAAAUAAGAAGUAACCUGGACCUCACCUAUUAGAAUGGCCAAAACCCAGAGCACUAACACCAGCAUAUGCUGAGGAGGAUGUGGAGCAACAGGAGCUCCCAUUCACUGCAGGUGGGAAUGCAAAAUGGCACAGGCACUUCAGAAGACAGCCUGGCGGUUUCUUACAAAGCUAAACAUACUCUUACCAUAUGAUCAAGCAAUUGCAACCUUGUUGAUUUACCAAAAGGAGUUGAAAACUUACGUCCACACUAAAACCUGUACAUGGAUGUUUUAGCAGCUUUACUGCUAACUGCGAAAAUUUAGAAUCAGCUAAGAUGUCCUUGUGUAGGUGAGGGGCUGAACAGAUACAUUCUGACAAUGGAAUAUUAUUUAGUGCUAAAAAGAAAUGCUUUAUGAAGCCAUGAAAAGACAUGGAGGAAGCUGGGACGUAUAUUGCUAAGCAAAGGAAGCAAAUCUGAAAAUCCUAUAUACUGUAUGAUUCCCAAUAUGUAACAUUCUGGAAAGGGCAAGACUAUAGAAAGAAUAAAAGAUCAGUGGUUGCCAGGGGUCAGCAGGCAGGAAGGAAUGAGUGGGUGGAGCACAGAGGAUUUUCAGGGCAGUGGAACAACUCCAUAUGACGCUGUAAAGCAAAAUCAUGUCCUUACACAUUUGUUAAAACCCAAUGACUGUUCAAGGCCAAGAGUGAGCCCUAAUGUAACUAUGGACUUUGGGUGACUGGCCAAGAGUGAGCCCUAAUGUAACUAUGGACUCUGGGUGACUAGCCAAGAGUGAGCCCUAAUGUAACUAUGGACUUCAGGUGACUGGCCAACAGGGAGCCCUAAUGUAACUAUGGACUUCGGGUGACUGGCCAAGAGUAAGCCCUAAUGUAACUAUGGACUUUGGGUGACUAUGACCCAAAUGUCAAUGUAGCUUCAUUAACAGUUAAUAAACAUUUCACUGUGGUGUGGGAUGGUGACUGUAGUGGGGGUGGCGGUGUGUGUGCAUGGGUAUGGGCUGGGGUAUAUGGGAACUCACUGUACUUUCUGUAAUUUUGCUGUGAACUUAAAACUGCCCUAAAAAUUGUCUAUUUUUAAAAAACAAUAAUUAUAAACUGGAAAAAUUCUCUUAGGAAAUCCUAAAAUAUGGAAGAUAAAAUAUGAAAUGUUUUCUCAGUAUUAAAUGUUUAUAACAACCACUUUCUAACCCUCAGAGAGCAACACAGCAAAUACUUAUUAACAGUGCCAUAAAGAAAUAAAAGCUAGUCAACCAAAACUUCCCAUUAAAUAGGAACUGUAAACUUUAUAUACAGAUAAAACAACCACAUUUUCACAAACUGAAACUUGAAAAAUUAAGUAAAUUGGUCAUUCACUAAAUUGGCUGCUUGGCAAACUAAUUUUCAAAGAAUUAGCAUGUUCUUGGUUGGAAAAGAAAAAGAAUAAGCAAAGUCAGAAAGUAACAAAAAAGAUCUCUAAAGCUGGGUGUUGCCCAAAAGCAGCCGAUGGAGCCAACCAGAGGCUGGAACAUUACAGACCCGCUUUCCCCACCACCCAAGCUGGUGUAUGCCAUGCUCCCACAGCAGAAGCUAAAAAAGUACACUUACUAUUUCUAUUAACGAAUAGACUAUCUCCUUCUAAACUGUAUAACAUUAUAUGAAAUUGGAAGCUAAAAUGUUUGUAGUAAUUGUUUCUACUAUGUUCUUCUUCUGCCUUCAUUGUUAAGUUUUAUGUUUCAUUAAUACCUUUUUAGAGUCAAAAAAUUUUCAAAAUUUCAAUUAAAAAAAUUUCUAAAUACCA